AGAGUUUGAUCCUGGCUCAGAACGAACGCUGGCGGCGUGCUUAACACAUGCAAGUCGAGUGCGCGUGCCGUAGCAAUACGGUAUGGCGCACGGCGCACGGGUGCGUAACACGUGGGCAAUCUGCCCUCCGGUGGGGAAUAACCCCGCGAAAGCGGGGCUAAUUCCGCAUAACAUUCUCUGGACUCUGGUUCGGGGAUUCAAAGCAGCAAUGCGCCGAAGGAGGAGCCCGCGCCCGAUUAGCUAGUUGGUGAGGUAACGGCUCACCAAGGCAAUGAUCGGUAGCUGGUCUGAGAGGAUGGCCAGCCACACUGGAACUGAGACACGGUCCAGACUCCUACGGGAGGCAGCAGUGGGGAAUCUUGCGCAAUGGGCGAAAGCCUGACGCAGCGACGCCGCGUGGGGGAUGAAGCUUCUCGGAGUGUAAACCCCUUUCGACCGGGACGAAUGCCCGCAAGGGAGUGACGGUACCGGUAGAAGAAGCCCCGGCUAACUACGUGCCAGCAGCCGCGGUAAGACGUAGGGGGCCAGCGUUGUUCGGAAUUACUGGGUGUAAAGGGUCCGUAGGCGGUGUGGCAAGUCGGGAGUGAAAUUUCUGGGCUUAACUCAGAAGCUGCUUCCGAAACUGCUGUGCUAGAGUGCGGGAGAGGCGCGUGGAAUUGCAGGUGUAGCGGUGAAAUGCGUAGAUAUCUGC
Molecule: ribosomal RNA, 691 nt
Filed under: uncultured soil bacterium
Lineage: Bacteria
Description: bacterial SSU rRNA
Rfam family: Bacterial small subunit ribosomal RNA
Source: RNAcentral